Molecule: ribosomal RNA, 443 nt
Filed under: Maritimibacter alkaliphilus
Lineage: Bacteria; Pseudomonadati; Pseudomonadota; Alphaproteobacteria; Rhodobacterales; Roseobacteraceae
Description: bacterial SSU rRNA
Rfam family: Bacterial small subunit ribosomal RNA
Source: RNAcentral
CUCGGGGCGGCAGGCUUACACAUGCAGUCGAGCGAAGACUUCGGUCUUAGCGGCGGACGGGUGAGUAACGCGUGGGAACGUGCCCUUCACUACGGAAUAGUCCCGGGAAACUGGGUUUAAUACCGUAUACGCCCUUCGGGGGAAAGAUUUAUCGGUGAAGGAUCGGCCCGCGUCUGAUUAGAUAGUUGGUGGGGUAACGGCCUACCAAGUCGACGAUCAGUAGCUGGUUUUAGAGGAUGAUCAGCCACACUGGGACUGAGACACGGCCCAGACUCCUACGGGAGGCAGCAGUGGGGAAUCUUAGACAAUGGGCGCAAGCCUGAUCUAGCCAUGCCGCGUGAGUGAUGAAGGCCUUAGGGUCGUAAAGCUCUUUCGCCAGGGAUGAUAAUGACAGUACCUGGUAAAGAAACCCCGGCUAACUCCGUGCCAGCAGCCGCGGUAAU